RNAcentral lists this ribosomal RNA (583 nucleotides) under Clupea harengus (Atlantic herring). Its description in RNAcentral is "partial 12S ribosomal RNA". It matches the Rfam family "Bacterial small subunit ribosomal RNA", at positions 556 to 1415 of the family's 1533-position model. The record is from RNAcentral. Lineage: Eukaryota; Metazoa; Chordata; Actinopteri; Clupeiformes; Clupeidae. RNAcentral also lists the same sequence under 1 other name.
CGGCGUAAAGAGUGGUUAUGGAAAACAAGCACUAAAGCCAAAGAGCCCUCAGGCCGUUAUACGCACCCGGGGCCUCGAACCACUAUCACGAAAGUAGCUUUACCCUCGCCCACCAGAACCCACGAGAGCUGGGACACAAACUGGGAUUAGAUACCCCACUAUGCCCCGCCGUAAACUUAGAUAUAUUAGUACAACAAAUAUCCGCCCGGGAACUACGAGCGCCAGCUUAAAACCCAAAGGACUUGGCGGUGCUUCAGACCCCCCUAGAGGAGCCUGUUCUAGAACCGAUAACCCCCGUUCAACCUCACCACUCCUUGCCCCUCCCGCCUAUAUACCACCGUCGCCAGCUUACCCUGUGAAGGUACUACAGUAAGCAGAAUGAGCAUUCCUCAGAACGUCAGGUCGAGGUGUAGCGUACGGAGUGGGAUAGAAAUGGGCUACAUUAUCUGAAACAGAUUAUUUACGAAAGGCCGCCUGAAAUCAAGCACCCGAAGGUGGAUUUAGCAGUAAAAAGGGAAUAGAGUGCCCUUUUGAAGUUGGCUCUGAAGCGCGCACAUACCGCCCGUCACUCUCCCCAGCGACC